Long non-coding RNA from Betta splendens (Siamese fighting fish), 395 nucleotides. RefSeq lists it as uncharacterized. The transcript has 3 exons. NCBI's taxonomy places the organism in Eukaryota, Metazoa, Chordata, Actinopteri, Anabantiformes, Osphronemidae. The record is from RefSeq and is a predicted model, not a curated record.
GUGAAAUUCAAACGUCACAGCAAACGGGUGCGAAGCGUUUAUGAUCAGGGUCACACAGUGUGAUUUCCACACAAAUGCUGUGCUUUCACUUUUGCACGAGAAACAAUGUGCUCGUCUGUACGGCCGAAGGUGAUUCACGAAGGCUUCGUUUUCUUCAAACUCGAACAGCCGAGGGUUUUCAGUCAGACGCGCGCGCCGUGAGGAUGACGAUGAUUUCCUGGCAUCUGGGAGGCUACAGCAGCACAGUCUCGGGUGAUCAGCUGGCAAAGUCAGGCAGAAGUGAACCAUGAGCACAGUGGCGCCUUCCCACUUCUCAUGGAUUUGGGGAAGUUGUGACUAAACUGGGAGUAGGAACAAGGCUUUCUACUUUAUAUCAUGUUUGUCACUGUCACACA